GACGAACGCUGGCGGCGUGCUUAACACAUGCAAGUCGAACGAUGAACCCGGAGCUUGCUCUGGGGGAUUAGUGGCGAACGGGUGAGUAACACGUGAGUAACCUGCCCUGGACUCUGGGAUAAGCGUUGGAAACGACGUCUAAUACCGGAUAGGACCUUGGAUCGCAUGAUCUGGGGUGGAAAGUUUUUUCGGUCUGGGAUGGACUCGCGGCCUAUCAGCUUGUUGGUGAGGUAAUGGCUCACCAAGGCGUCGACGGGUAGCCGGCCUGAGAGGGUGACCGGCCACACUGGGACUGAGAAACGGACCAGACUCCGACGGGAGGCAGCAGUGGGGAAUAUUGCACAAUGGGCGAAAGCCUGAGGCAGCAACGCCGCGUGCGGGAUGACGGCCUUCGGGUUGUAAACCGCUUUUAGUAGGGAAGAAGGGCUUCGGCUUGACGGUACCUGCAGAAAAAGGACCGGCUAACUACGUG
RNAcentral lists this ribosomal RNA (472 nucleotides) under uncultured bacterium. RNAcentral describes it as "partial 16S ribosomal RNA". It matches the Rfam family "Bacterial small subunit ribosomal RNA", at positions 28 to 507 of the family's 1533-position model. The record is from RNAcentral.